RNAcentral lists this ribosomal RNA (404 nucleotides) under uncultured bacterium. RNAcentral describes it as "bacterial SSU rRNA". It matches the Rfam family "Bacterial small subunit ribosomal RNA", at positions 355 to 774 of the family's 1533-position model. The record is from RNAcentral.
UGGGGAAUAUUGCACAAUGGAGGAAACUCUGAUGCAGCGACGCCGCGUGAGUGAAGAAGGUCUUCGGAUCGUAAAACUCUGUCCUUGGUGACGAAAAAAAUGACGGUAGCCAAGGAGGAAGCCCCGGCUAACUACGUGCCAGCAGCCGCGGUAAUACGUAGGGGGCGAGCGUUGUCCGGAUUUACUGGGCGUAAAGGGUGAGUAGGCGGUAAUAUGUGUCAGAUGUAAAAGGCUAUGGCUUAACCAUAGUUGGCAUUUGGAACUGUAUUACUUGAGUGCAGGGGAGGUAAGUGGAAUUCCUAGAGUAGCGGUGAAAUGCGUAGAUAUUAGGAGGAACACCAGUGGCGAAGGCGACUUACUGGACUGUAACUGACGCUGAGUCACGAAAGCGUGGGUAGCAAACA